UAGGGAAUCUUCGGCAAUGGGGGCAACCCUGACCGAGCAACGCCGCGUGAGUGAAGAAGGUUUUCGGAUCGUAAAGCUCUGUUGUAAGAGAAGAACGUGUGUGAGAGUGGAAAGUUCACACGGUGACGGUAACUUACCAGAAAGGGACGGCUAACUACGUGCCAC
RNAcentral lists this ribosomal RNA (165 nucleotides) under uncultured bacterium. RNAcentral describes it as "partial 16S rRNA". It matches the Rfam family "Bacterial small subunit ribosomal RNA", at positions 355 to 511 of the family's 1533-position model. The record is from RNAcentral.